Molecule: ribosomal RNA, 381 nt
Filed under: Bacillus sp. SW2-21
Lineage: Bacteria; Bacillati; Bacillota; Bacilli; Caryophanales; Bacillaceae
Description: bacterial SSU rRNA
Rfam family: Bacterial small subunit ribosomal RNA
Source: RNAcentral
GUAACACGUGGGUAACCUGCCUGUAAGACUGGGAUAACUCCGGGAAACCGGAGCUAAUACCGGAUAGUUCCUUGAACCGCAUGGUUCAAGGAUGAAAGACGGUUUCGGCUGUCACUUACAGAUGGACCCGCGGCGCAUUAGCUAGUUGGUGAGGUAACGGCUCACCAAGGCGACGAUGCGUAGCCGACCUGAGAGGGUGAUCGGCCACACUGGGACUGAGACACGGCCCAGACUCCUACGGGAGGCAGCAGUAGGGAAUCUUCCGCAAUGGACGAAAGUCUGACGGAGCAACGCCGCGUGAGUGAUGAAGGUUUUCGGAUCGUAAAGCUCUGUUGUUAGGGAAGAACAAGUGCAAGAGUAACUGCUUGCACCUUGACGGUA